RNAcentral lists this long non-coding RNA (1765 nucleotides) under Bos indicus x Bos taurus (hybrid cattle). RNAcentral's name for it is "lncRNA (ENSBIXG00000008716.1)". Lineage: Eukaryota; Metazoa; Chordata; Mammalia; Artiodactyla; Bovidae. The record is from RNAcentral.
GGUGACAGCUUUGGGAGAUGGGGAGAGGGCUUUGUAAAGGAAGACCCCGCUGACCGUGGUGGGCAGAGGGCCACUCGGAAGGUUGGAAAGACCCCCAGUGGUUUUAGGCAAAGGAAGGACGUGUGUCCAUCUCUAGACAAAGACUAACAGCUGGAAACCCUCGGUGGGUUUCAAACUCACUGUUACCUGAUGUUUCACUGCUCCAUGGCUAAACCUCGGGGUGUGACUUCUGGAAUGUGAGGGACUCGGUGGACCUGACUCUGCUGGAGACGUGGGAGCUGGCCCCAAUGCACACAGCAUCCUGGACCCAAAGGAGCCAGGGAAUCAGCUCUCACUCUCCCCUGCCCCCGGACACCCGGAACCGUUGGUGAGCUUCUUGCCGGAUUCCCUCUGAAGGAGCCACCUUUGGCUUCUGGGUCUGAAGAGAAGGUGAACUUACGUUGCCUGCCCUGGGGUCCCAGGCCUCUAACUCUGUGAGAGCGGCCGUGCUGGGGCCCCAGUCCACAGGCGUGGCUCAGAUCCGAGCUCCAUCACUUGUGGGACGGGGUGGGGCUGAAAGCUGGGGCCUGACGUCCUCUUCAGGGCUCAGGCCCAGCUCCCUGGACACGCCUUGCUCGUGGUGGAAGGGCGGAAGGAGGGGAGCUGGCUCUGCCCAGACCUCCUCCGUGGCCUGGCUGGCUCGUGGUGACGCAGGGCCCUUGGGGGAGCCUGCAGGGUGGGCACGAGUCUCUGUCGGAGCCCGCCUCGCUGGCCUGAGCUCUGUCACUCUCUUCCUGCUGCUGCUCGGCCGGGGACUCGGUUUAAGCGAGGGCCGGGCACUGUCUGGCACUGCUCACCAGGGAAGCCCAAGGGCUGUGCUGGAAGUUUCUCUGGAGACUACAGGGGUCCCGACCGCAAGAAGCCUGGAAGGAGACCUCUGGGGUGUGUCUGAGCCUCCCCUCACCCCCUGGCACUGCCCCUUUGACCUGCUGCCACAGCAUCCGGCGAGACGGGGGAGACGGCAGCUGGGACCCACUGUGUCCUUGGAACGAGACGGGCCCCCAUCAAACUCCCUAAUCUUGGCUCAAUUAAACUGAGCACCGACUCUGGAGCAGUUAGAAAUAUGACGGGGGCUUCCCUGGUGGCCCAGUGGUCGGACUCCGCAUUCCCUCCAUAGGACCGCAGGUUCCACGCCUGGCUGGAGAACUAAGAUCCUGGAACUGAGAUCCGCAGCAUGGCCAGUUUUUUUUUUUUUUUUAAUUAAAAAAAUAUGAAAACAUUGUUCUACAAUUUUAUGCCCCAAAAUAUUGGCCACUCUAAAUAGUUUAUAUUUUUAAAUGAAUAACUUAAUGACAUCGUUCAUGCAUUUAGAACACUUCAGAAAGCUUUUUGUUUUGGAAAGUUCCACAUACUUAUUGUAAAAGGUAAAGAAAAUAGGAUAAUGAACUCCCACAUACGCAAGAUUCCACUCUAGCCGCUCCCAACUGAUGGCCAAUGUUAUUCUGUCCUUAUUCCUUCCCAUUUCUCUGCCACCUACCUACAUUUUUUAAAAGACAAACCACAGACAGCAUAUAAUUUUAUCUAUAUUUCACUGUUAUUCUAAAGACAAGAAUUCAUUAAAAAAAUAACCAAAUUCCAUUAUCAUACCUACAAAAUUAAUAGUAAUUUUAACAUUAAAUACUCAGUACUCAAAUUUUCAAUUAUCUUAAAAUGUAAGAUUACUUUAAAGUCAUUUUUACUGAGCUACAUUUUUCGUAUAAUAAAAUGUACCUAUAUUAAGGGUGCA